Astatotilapia calliptera (eastern happy) is the source of this 1376-nucleotide long non-coding RNA. The record is from Ensembl. NCBI's taxonomy places the organism in Eukaryota, Metazoa, Chordata, Actinopteri, Cichliformes, Cichlidae.
CACCCUUUGCAGCUAUAAGAGCUUCAACUUUUCUGGAGAGGCUUUCCACAAGGUUAGGAAUGUUUAUGGGAAUUUUGACCAUUCUUCCAGAUAUGCAUUUGUGAGGACAAGAAGCCCUGGCCUCGCAGUCUCCAAUCUAAUUCAUCCCAAAGUUGUUCUGUCAAACUGUUCCACAUCAAACUCGCUCAUCCAUGUCUUUAUGGACCUUGAUUUGUGCACCGGUUACAGUCAUGUUAGAGCAGGAAGGGGCCAACCCCAAACUGUUCCCACAAAGUUGGGAUUAUGAAAUUGUCCAAAAUGUCUUGGUAUGCUGAAGCAUUAAGAGUUCUUUCACUGGAACUAAGGAGCUGAGUUAAAGUCAUUUUGUUUUAAUACCACUGUGGAAUAUUGGAAUAUUUAGUAGCAAGGCCUGUACUUGUUGCACAGGUGAAAUCCUAUCAUGGUACCAUGUUGGAAUGUGUGUAGAAGCAGUCUGCAUGCCUAGGUGCAUGAUUGUAUACACCUGUGGUCAUGGAAGUGAUUGGAACACCUGAAUUAAAUGAUCUGAAUGUGGGAGUUGAUACUUUUCGGUGUACCUAAUGUAGUCUACCUUAGUCUUUUUUUUCUUUUUUUUCAAGCUUUUUUUUUACUUUAUUAAGAAGCAUUUUGAAAAAAUUGGCAACAGCUGAUUGGAAUCCAAGUAGAUUUUUGUUGAAGGAACAAAGAUGCCGAUCAGAAGUAAAUUUUCACUGAGAUUUCUGUUUGUUUCACCCUUUUUUUUUUUAAAUUCCUUUGUCCUUCCUUGAUAUCAACAUUCAAUAUUCCAAACCAUAUCUCCCAUCUUUUACUUCUCUGCUGAUUUCCAUCUCUAUGUUCAACAUACUACUUUUCUGUCUCAGCUCUCCGUCUUCGGCCCUUUGUCUCCAAUUCCAUGGCCCGUUUUUUUCCAUCUUUUUCCUCCACAAAGGGAGGGAGUUGUUAUAUAAACCUGUUGUUUUUCCUCAUCAUCUCCUGACAACAGUGCAGAACACUCUCUGAUGCAGUUCCCACAAAUGCAGAAGCUCACGCAACUAUGCUGCUGCAGACGCACUGCUGCACUGAGUUUUGAUCACUUGUAUCCAGUCGGUUCUUUUUGAUUUCCCCUCGCACCUUCAUGUAUUGCAAACAACCUUAUACUUUCAUCUCUGCAUUAUCUGCUCUGGUUGUCAUUAUCACAUACGCACACGCUUACGCAAAUGGUCAGCCAUUAGCACAAGUACAACACUUUGAAGCUAUAACCCUUACAUGCAUAUAAACACAUUUUGUCUAUCUACUCCCACACACUCUUUGUGGCCUAUACCAGCCGGUCUGCGGAGCGAAUACGUCCUGCUGUAUUAGGCAUCCCACACACACACACA